Long non-coding RNA from Oryctolagus cuniculus (rabbit), 1947 nucleotides. NCBI's taxonomy places the organism in Eukaryota, Metazoa, Chordata, Mammalia, Lagomorpha, Leporidae. The record is from Ensembl.
GUUCAAGGAGAGCAGAGGCUGCUUGUGUCUUGCCCCAACACACAGCAGAAGCAGAAGACCUGAAGCCUCAACUGAAGUCCCUCCUCUCCCAUUUCCACAUCCCAUACGACGUCAAAGAGCUCAGGGAUGCUGCAAAGGAGAUGCAGCUGUUUUUCUUGGUUUCCCAAAAAUUUCAAAGCAUCUUCAUGGAGCAACAGAAGAUGCAGACGUUUCCCGACUAUGAAGCUCGGAAGGCAACUGCAGAGAAUCUGGGUCUGGCAGGACCUCCUUCAGCCCUGAAAAAGAGAGCCAAUUGGAUUCCCUUUAUAAAGAUCAAGCCAAAAUGUGAUCCCUGGCAAAGGAAACUUUUGAUCAGACUAAAAGAACGGAGACGAAUAGAUGCACUAAUGCACCUGCAAGCCAAGUUUUUGAAGAUUUCCGACCCUGAGCAAGUAAUGCAAGCGCUUCGCGAUCACGCUGCAAAGACAGCCACGCUGGCGCCACGUCAUCACCCGUCUUUCGUGACUGCCCAGGGUGUGCCUCAGCGCAGCUAUGACCAGAUCUGGGAGAAUAUUUACAGCAACGUCCGUCUCUACCAGAAUGGAAACACAAAGGAUGAUGACCUUUCUGUGGAACAAAAUGAAAAUGAACUAGCUCAAAGGAGUCCCAGCCAAUGGACUGAUAGGCCUGUCAAGCAGAGAGAAGAGACAGGGUACAACUACGCAAUGACCCUACAACUGCUGGGCCUGGAUGAUGAGGGGGCUGAGCCCGGUGCACGGGAUCCUGCCCUGAUGAGAGGGGCCUACUUGUCCUUUCUGUAUCUGCGCCACCUGCGGAUCAGGGAGCUGCAGCGCAUCUGCUUGGGAAUUCUGAACUAUUUCAGAUCCGUGGAGCGAACCUUGACCAUCAACACUUCAGGCCUUACUGUGGCUUCAGGGGACAUGGUCCCUACCAUGGAAGACAGUUGCUGGGCAAACGUGGCCAAAGAAGGCUUGGGCGCCUCGCAAGGCCUCGGGUCCUCUGCCGAGCACAAGGUGAGGUAUUCUGUCAGUUUUUCUUCCUUGAUGAGUCCCACCACGGCAAGCCAUUUUUUUCCUAACACCUGGAAUACCAACUAAUAUGUGGUGGCACACGGGCUAGUGCUAGUGGCCGCCUCUUUCUCAUUUUUAAGAUCUAUUUCUUUUCUUUAAAAGCACAGUUCACAGAGAGAGAGUGGGGGAGGGAGAGAGGGGAGAGAGAGAGAGAGAGAGAGAGAGAGAGUCCUAGAGCCAGGAGCUUCUUUCUGGUCUCCCAUAUGGGAGCAGGGAGGGAGAGGGAGAGGGAGAGGGAGAGGGAGAGGGAGAGGGAGAGGGAGAGGGAGAGAGACCUGGAGCCAGGAGCUUCUUUCUGGUCUCCCAUAUGGGAGCAGAGGCCCAAACACUUGGGACUCUUCCACUGCUUUCCCAGGUGCACUAGCAGGAAGCUGGAUCAGAAGUGGAACAGCUGGAGCUUGAACUGAUGCCCAUAUGGGAUGCCGGUGCUGUAGGCAGCAGCUUAAUCUGCAAUAUCACAGUGUCGGCCCUGAUGGGGUGUUCUUAGCAAAAAGGCUUUCUAAAAAAUUAUAGAGGGGUGGACACUUGGCCUAGCAGUGAAAUGGCCAGUUAACAGGACUGCAUUGCAUGUGGAAGUACCUGGGUUUGAACCUUCCUCCAGCUGCUGAUUCCGGCUCCCUCCCAAUGAGGACCCUGGCUGAUGUCAUGAGGUCCUGCCAUCCACACAGGAGACCUGGAUUGAGUUCUACCCAGCGCUGGCUGUCGUAGGCAUUUGGGAAGUGAACAAGUGCAUGGGAACUAAUGAAUUCUGUCUGCACCACGCCACCCCACCGAUCUCUGUGCCUCUCAAAAGUAAAUAUAAACUUAACACGGAAGCAAAAGGGGAAAUGGCUUUUUUAGCCACAAUAAAAUGCCGUGUCCAUCUUAUAGUGGGACA